Molecule: long non-coding RNA, 523 nt
Filed under: Physcomitrium patens
Lineage: Eukaryota; Viridiplantae; Streptophyta; Bryopsida; Funariales; Funariaceae
Description: long non-coding RNA (PPAT_LNC000333)
Source: RNAcentral
AAUGUUGUUUUUGGUGACUUUGGUUUUUGAAAAAUAAACUAAGAUUGACGUUUUGGAUAAUUUCAAGAGUUUGGUAAUAGAUCUAUAAGUAAAAUUUUCUAGAUUUGUGGGUGUACUUGUGCAAGAUGUGUAUUGUGAAUUUAGAUUUGAUCGAAUGGCUAGAUUAAAAGCAUGAAGAUUUUUGUGGGUUAUAGUCUCAAAAUUCAGGAUUUUGAAGAUCAAUGAGGUUUUCUUAGAUAUUUGUCAAUCCACUAAUUAGAUUGAAGCAAAUAUUUUUAAAAAAGUGGUGAAAUUGAUUUUUAAUAAGUGUGUACAUUUUGGGAGCAAAGUAACAAUUCAAUUAGGAGUAAUUGGCUCUCGGAGAUUGGCAUCAAGGUCAGAGAAGGAGGCUAGUCAAUACACAAGUAUAUUUUUGAUAUUAUUAUCUAUUUGGUAAUUUUAAUCUUCUUCAAUUUUUUUUUAAUUAUUUUAAACUUAAUUAAUAAAUAAUGGAUAAAAUUUGAGUUGAAAUCAAUGGUUCAAA